Molecule: ribosomal RNA, 440 nt
Filed under: uncultured bacterium
Lineage: Bacteria
Description: partial 16S ribosomal RNA
Rfam family: Bacterial small subunit ribosomal RNA
Source: RNAcentral
CCUACGGGAGGCAGCAGUGGGGGAUAUUGCACAAUGGGGGAAACCCUGAUGCAGCGACGCCGCGUGGGUGAAGAAGCGCCUCGGCGCGUAAAGCCCUGUCAGCAGGGAAGAAAAUGACGGUACCUGAAGAAGAAGCCCCGGCUAACUACGUGCCAGCAGCCGCGGUAAUACGUAGGGGGCAAGCGUUAUCCGGAUUUACUGGGUGUAAAGGGGGCGCAGACGGCGAUGCAAGCCAGGAGUGAAAGACCGGGGCCCAACCCCGGGACUGGUCGUGGAACUGCGUGGCUAGAGUGCAGGAGGGGAAGGCGGAAUGCCUGGUGUAGCGGUGAAAUGCGUAGAUAUCAGGAGGAACACCGGUGGCGAAGGCGGCCUGCUGGACUGCAACUGACGUUGAGGCCCGAAAGCGUGGGGAGCAAACAGGAUUAGAUACCCGGGUAGUC